GGAAGGAUCAUUACAAAUCAGUGUUGGCUGCAUGGGGAGUUGUUGUGUGUUGGGUGGGUGGUGGUGAUUGUGGACGUGUCGCAGGCGCCAAGGUGUCUUGCAAUGUACUCACGCCUCCGCUGCUCACAUCAUCCCGCAUACCCGACCCCGAGCAGCCGCUCACAUUUGCGCUUGUUGUGUUUGACAGAGUAGACUAUUCACGAAAUGAGACAACUUUUAACAAUGGAUCUCUUGGCUCUUGCAACGAUGAAGAACGCAGCAAAAUGCGAUACGUAGUGCGAUCUGCAUGAACCUGUGAGUCAUCGAGUCUUUGAACGCAACUUGCGCCACUUGUGGCAUGUCUGUUUGAGCACCAUAUACCUCUGUCGCAAGACGAACUGUCCAGUGAUCGCUGGGCCAAAUGGUGUGAUAUCUAUCUCUGGGGUGCGCAGUGGCGAACCGAGCUAGAGGCGCUGGAUGGAAUCUGCUGGCUGUUGCAGGCCAGUGGACGACACCAAUCACCUUGUCGGCAAUCUACUAGGCCCCCACACAUACCGGUCUCAAAUCAGGCAAGACUACCCGCUGAACUUAAGCAUAUCAGUAAGCGGAGGAACAGAAACUAACAAGGAUUCCCUCAGUAAUGGCGAAUGAAGCGGGAACAGCUCAAAUUUGAAAUCUCGGUGGACAGCCCACCGCGAAUUGUAGUCUAAAGAAGGCGAUGCAGGCCGAGCAGCGGACCAAGUGCCCUGGGAUGGGCCGCCAGAGAGGGUGAGAGCCCCGUCAGUCCGUGCGCCGAGCCGAGUCAGAGCCUCUCAACGAGUCGAGUUGUUUGGGAAUGCAGCUCAAAGUCGGUGGUAAAUCUCAUCCAAGGCUAAAUACAGGCAAGAGACCGAUAGCGAACAAGUACCGUGAGGGAAAGAUGAAAAGCACCUUGAAAAGGGAGUUAAACAGUGCGUGAAAUUGUUAAAAGGGAAGCGAUUGAGAUCAGUGUUGGGCUCUGCUCAACUCCCCGCUCCGGUGGGGAUGGCGGCAGAGCACCGAGUCAGUGCCGGUUGUGGGCGCUGGACACGCGCUGCGGGAAGGUGGGGUCGUCCUUCGGGGCGGCUCUUUAUAGACCGCAGCUGCUGCAGCGGCGGCGACCGGAAUGGAUGCGACGUGCUGUGUGGAGAGGCAUUCUUCGGCGGCUGGACUACAUGUAGGCCAGUGCUGGACGUGCCCACCUUGCGGCUCCGAGCAAACAGCCUCUGACAAAAUGGUCUUAAACGACCCGUCUUGAAACACGGACCAAGGAGUCUAACAAUGUUGCGAGCAUUAUGGUGGCAAACCAGAGUGCGCAAUGAAAGUGAAAGCCUGCGAGCUCCGGCGCAGCAGGGACCGGCUUGGCAGUAACCUGCCAGGACCGCGUAGGAGCAGGAUUGUUGGGACCCGAAAGGCGGUGAACUAUGCCUGACUAGGGCGAAGCCAGAGGAAACUCUGGUGGAGGCUCGUAGCCGUUCUGACGUGCAAAUCGAUGGUCAAAGUUGGGUAUAGGGGCGAAAGACUAAUCGAACCGCCUAGUAGCUGGUUCCCUC
This 1550-nucleotide unclassified non-coding RNA is filed under the name uncultured fungus. RNAcentral describes it as "sequence contains 18S rRNA gene, ITS1, 5.8S rRNA gene, ITS2, 28S rRNA gene". The stretch from base 535 to 1550 matches the Rfam family "Eukaryotic large subunit ribosomal RNA", at positions 1 to 961 of the family's 3401-position model. The record is from RNAcentral. Lineage: Eukaryota; Fungi.